AAGGUAGCAUAAUCAAUAGUCUCUUAAUUGGAGGCUGGGAUGAAGGGCUGGAUGAAGCAUGAGCUGUCUCCGUNGUGAUAAGAGAAAAUUUAAUUAGUUAGUUAAAAAGCUGACAUGAAAUUAAGGGACGAGAAGACCCUAUAGAUCUUUAUAGGUAUAUUUUAGNGUAUUUAGGUGAAUAAAGACUUAAGAAAACAUUUAUUUUGUUGGGGCGACAAGGAAAUCAGACAACUUUCUUAUAAUUGGACACUGAUGUGUGGUUAAGNNAGAGCCAAAAUUUUUGAUUAAAAGAUUAAGUUACCUUAGGGAUAACAGCAUAAUCUUUUCUGAGAGUUCAAAUCGAGGAAGAGGGUUGUGACCUCGAUGUUGGAU
RNAcentral lists this ribosomal RNA (372 nucleotides) under Ulmeritus saopaulensis. RNAcentral's name for it is "partial 16S ribosomal RNA". It matches the Rfam family "Bacterial large subunit ribosomal RNA", at positions 1953 to 2537 of the family's 2925-position model. Lineage: Eukaryota; Metazoa; Arthropoda; Insecta; Ephemeroptera; Leptophlebiidae. The record is from RNAcentral.